Molecule: ribosomal RNA, 133 nt
Filed under: uncultured bacterium
Lineage: Bacteria
Description: partial 16S ribosomal RNA
Source: RNAcentral
CGGAGUUAGCCGGUGCUUAUUCAUAUAAUACCGUCAUUAUCUUCUUAUAUAAAAGGAGUUUACGCACCGAAAUGUGUCAUCCUCCACGCGGCGUUGCUGCAUCAGGCUUUCGCCCAUUGUGCAAUAUUCCCCA